CAGAGCUCGGCAAAUAAU
Molecule: transfer RNA, 18 nt
Filed under: Neolamprologus savoryi
Lineage: Eukaryota; Metazoa; Chordata; Actinopteri; Cichliformes; Cichlidae
Description: partial tRNA-Pro
Source: RNAcentral